UGGGUAUGGGAGCGUGAGCCUGUGUGCUGGGCUCCUAAACUCCUGACAGGCCUUGAGAGACAGGCUUGCUCAGAGUCCUGGCUGUGAAAAAUGUGAAGUUCCUGUGGGGUGGAAGACACACAGGCUUCCUCUUCUUGUUCUCUCAAAGGGGAAGGUUGCGACUAAGACAAUGGUGAGCUGUCUACUGAGAGCUGGAUUCUAGGAAGAAGGAGAGCACAGCUGGGGAAAAGACCCUCGUGGACAUCUAGACAUUCAGAAAUGCUCCCUGUCUAGAAGAAUGUGGAUGGUGUGAGAAUUGGAGGACUUGAUCUUUGAGAACCAUUUGGGCAGCAGUUUUGGAGGGGACCAGACAGCUAAUCCUGGUGAAGAGGACUCUGUGACCCAGAAGACGCCUCAGAUGCA
Long non-coding RNA from Ailuropoda melanoleuca (giant panda), 402 nucleotides. RefSeq lists it as uncharacterized. The record is from RefSeq and is a predicted model, not a curated record. Lineage: Eukaryota; Metazoa; Chordata; Mammalia; Carnivora; Ursidae. The transcript has 4 exons.